RNAcentral lists this ribosomal RNA (443 nucleotides) under Desulfosporosinus sp. enrichment culture clone L6. RNAcentral's name for it is "bacterial SSU rRNA". It matches the Rfam family "Bacterial small subunit ribosomal RNA", at positions 8 to 430 of the family's 1533-position model. Lineage: Bacteria; Bacillati; Bacillota; Clostridia; Eubacteriales; Desulfitobacteriaceae. The record is from RNAcentral.
AGGGUUCGAUCAUGGCUCAGGACGAACGCUGGCGGCGUGCCUAACACAUGCAAGUCGAACGGAGAAUUUGCUAAGCUUGCUUAAAAAAUUCUUAGUGGCGGACGGGUGAGUAACGCGUGGGUAACCUGCCCAUGAAACCGGGACAACCCUUGGAAACGAGGGCUAAUACCGGAUAAUCUUAGGAUGUGGCAUCACAUUUUAAGGAAAGAUGGCCUCUGAAUAUGCUAUCGAUCAUGGAUGGACCCGCGUCUGAUUAGCUAGUUGGUGGGGUAAAGGCCUACCAAGGCGACAAUCAGUAGCCGGCCUGAGAGGGUGAACGGCCACNCUGGGACUGAGACACGGCCCANACUCCUACGGGAGGCAGCAGUGGGGAAUCUUCCGCAAUGGACGAAAGUCUGACGGAGCAACGCCGCGUGUAUGAUGAAGGUCUUCGGAUUGUAAAG